This is a long non-coding RNA of Oreochromis niloticus (Nile tilapia), 769 nucleotides long. RefSeq lists it as uncharacterized. The record is from RefSeq and is a predicted model, not a curated record. Lineage: Eukaryota; Metazoa; Chordata; Actinopteri; Cichliformes; Cichlidae. The transcript is spliced from 3 exons.
CUCUUCCAAACAGCACACUACUCACAACUCAGAGUGCCGGUUGUCCCCCUGUGCAUAGCUGCACCGAAUCUGAACAGCAAUGGCACAAGCCACGGACAGUGCCAGGACCUAUCAACUCUAUGAUCUUCACUAAGCCGGUACCAAAUAGGAUGGCCCAGACUGGAGUACGGAGUGGAUUCUACAGAGGCAUUGUGGGUCCAUUACCAGAUCCCUGACCUGACAAGCCCCUUGUGGAAAGUGCCUUUGGGCUGGUGCAGGAGGGCAGUGUUCUGUCAUGUCAGCAGCCGGUUUUGACAACCCGGUACAUCACACUACACCGUGAUGCACCACCAACACCGCACUUGCCUCUGGAGUAUGGGUAUGACAUGAAGGAAACCCUGCUCGCUCAGACAGCCUGUGAUAUUUUCUCAAACCGCUGCGCUGAACCAGUUUCCAAAGAACAUGCUGUGUGACACAAUAAAUAUCCUUUAACCUGUUAACCUGUGGCUUCUGGAAGAAACUCGGGUGAGUCAGUCACUGCAAACACAUUUGUAUCAUCAAGUGUUUGUCAAAUGAAAAUGAUAUGUUUUUCUACACUUAGGAUAAUUUUCUAUGUUGCAGUGCAGUAAAGUGCACGUUUCUUCUGUGUUCAAUCAUACAUGUUCUAAUUGUUAUAAACAGAAAAAAUCUUUUCUUACUUAACUGCUUGAUUCUUAACUUGUUUAACUGAAACAUGAUGAAAUGUCAUAGUAUUAUUUUUUUUUUUAAAUGUCCUUGGCAGUGCAUGUGU